This 741-nucleotide ribosomal RNA is filed under the name Gardnerella vaginalis JCP7672. RNAcentral describes it as "bacterial SSU rRNA". It matches the Rfam family "Bacterial small subunit ribosomal RNA", at positions 1 to 751 of the family's 1533-position model. The record is from RNAcentral. Lineage: Bacteria; Bacillati; Actinomycetota; Actinomycetes; Bifidobacteriales; Bifidobacteriaceae.
UUUCGUGGAGGGUUCGAUUCUGGCUCAGGAUGAACGCUGGCGGCGUGCUUAACACAUGCAAGUCGAACGGGAUCUGACCAGCUUGCUGGUUGGUGAGAGUGGCGAACGGGUGAGUAAUGCGUGACCAACCUGCCCCAUGCUCCAGAAUAGCUCUUGGAAACGGGUGGUAAUGCUGGAUGCUCCAACUUGACGCAUGUCUUGUUGGGAAAGUGUUUAGUGGCAUGGGAUGGGGUCGCGUCCUAUCAGCUUGUAGGCGGGGUAAUGGCCCACCUAGGCUUCGACGGGUAGCCGGCCUGAGAGGGCGGACGGCCACAUUGGGACUGAGAUACGGCCCAGACUCCUACGGGAGGCAGCAGUGGGGAAUAUUGCGCAAUGGGGGAAACCCUGACGCAGCGACGCCGCGUGCGGGAUGAAGGCCUUCGGGUUGUAAACCGCUUUUGAUUGGGAGCAAGCCUUUUGGGUGAGUGUACCUUUCGAAUAAGCGCCGGCUAACUACGUGCCAGCAGCCGCGGUAAUACGUAGGGCGCAAGCGUUAUCCGGAAUUAUUGGGCGUAAAGAGCUUGUAGGCGGUUCGUCGCGUCUGGUGUGAAAGCCCAUCGCUUAACGGUGGGUUUGCGCCGGGUACGGGCGGGCUAGAGUGCAGUAGGGGAGACUGGAAUUCUCGGUGUAACGGUGGAAUGUGUAGAUAUCGGGAAGAACACCAAUGGCGAAGGCAGGAAUUAGGCUUAAUGAAGGAUGCAC